ACGUAGGUGGCGAGCGUUGUCCGGAAUUACUGGGCGUAAAGGGAGCGUAGGCGGGGGAUCAAGUUGAAUGUCAAAUCUAUCGGCUCAACCGAUAGACGCGUUCGAAACUGGUUUUCGUGAGUGAAGUAGAGGCGGGUAGAAUUCCAGGUGUAGCGGUGAAAUGCGUAGAGAUCAGGAGGAAGACCAGUGGCGAAGGCGGCCCGCUGGACUAGAACUGACGCUCAGGUGCGAAAGCGUGGGGAGCAAACAG
Molecule: ribosomal RNA, 250 nt
Filed under: uncultured prokaryote
Description: partial 16S rRNA
Rfam family: Bacterial small subunit ribosomal RNA
Source: RNAcentral